Long non-coding RNA from Bubalus bubalis (water buffalo), 427 nucleotides. RefSeq lists it as uncharacterized. The transcript has 4 exons. Lineage: Eukaryota; Metazoa; Chordata; Mammalia; Artiodactyla; Bovidae. The record is from RefSeq and is a predicted model, not a curated record.
GUUCAGAUACCACCUCCUAUGCUGGGGCUUUGCAUUCACCACUUGUUGAAUACAAGUGUCUUGUUAAAACCCUGAGAGUUUAGUGCUGGGAGGGUCCUCAUUUGCUGUCUGAAGAAGUAGAGGUCUGGACCAAAGCUGUCUCUUCAGAGAGGCCUUUCCUAGGGCCAUCUUUUGCACGAAGCUUCUCUUCCGCGCGGUGAUUAAGAAGCUGGUAAUCUGUGCUCCCGGAGAAGGCAAUGGCACCCCACUCCAGUACUCUUGUCUGGAAAAUCCCACAGAUGGAGGAGCCUGGCAAUCCAUCUGAAAGUCGCAUCAACUCUACAUUUAAAAUAUAUUCAGGGACUUCCCUGGUGAUCUAGUGGUUAAGAAUCCACCUGCCGAUGCAGGGGACAUGGGUUUGAUCCCUGGUUCAGGAAGAUCCCAUAUG